RNAcentral lists this ribosomal RNA (484 nucleotides) under Candidatus Amesiibacteriota bacterium. RNAcentral's name for it is "bacterial LSU rRNA". It matches the Rfam family "Bacterial large subunit ribosomal RNA", at positions 1 to 504 of the family's 2925-position model. Lineage: Bacteria; Candidatus Amesiibacteriota. The record is from RNAcentral.
GUAAGGCAGACAACGAAUGCCUAGGAUACUGAAGCCGAAGAAGGACGUACGUGGCCACGAAAGUCGUCGGGGAGCUGCCAAGAAGCUUUGAUCCGGCGGUGUCCGAAUGGGGAAACCCCCUCUUUAUGAGGACCCCGCCUAUGGCGGGGGGGGCACGCCCUGAACUGAAACAUCUAAGUAAGGGCAGGAAAAGAAAUCAACGUUCGCGCAAGCGAGAGAGAUUCCGUAAGUAAGCGGUGAGCGAAAGCGGAACAGCCUAAACCCCGCCGCAAGGCGAGGGUGUUGCGGGAAGGCCGAGUGACCGGCAAGGGUAGUCGAACUGUCUGGAAAGGCAGGCUAUAAAACGUGACAGCCGUGUAGGCGAAACCCAAGCCGGCGUGAAGCCGAAUUCCCAAGUACCAUGAGGCACAUACCUUGUGGGAAUCCGGGGUGACCACACUCCAAGGCUAAAUACUUCAGUGUACCGAUAGUGAACUAGUACCGU